RNAcentral lists this ribosomal RNA (474 nucleotides) under uncultured bacterium. RNAcentral describes it as "bacterial SSU rRNA". It matches the Rfam family "Bacterial small subunit ribosomal RNA", at positions 328 to 793 of the family's 1533-position model. The record is from RNAcentral.
CGCUAUCACUCCUACGGGGAGGCAGCAGUAGGGAAUCUUCCACAAUGGGCGCAAGCCUGAUGGAGCAACACCGCGUGAGUGAAGAAGGGUUUCGGCUCGUAAAGCUCUGUUGUUAAAGAAGAACACGUAUGAGAGUAACUGUUCAUACGUUGACGGUAUUUAACCAGAAAGUCACGGCUAACUACGUGCCAGCAGCCGCGGUAAUACGUAGGUGGCAAGCGUUAUCCGGAUUUAUUGGGCGUAGAGAGAGUGCAGGCGGUUUUCUAAGCCUGAUGUGAAAGCCUUCGGCUUAACCGGAGAAGUGCAUCGGAAACUGGAUAACUUGAGUGCAGAAGAGGGUAGUGGAACUCCAUGUGUAGCGGUGGAAUGCGUAGAUAUAUGGAAGGACACCAGUGGCGAAGGCGGCUACCUGGUCUGCAACUGACGCUGAGACUCGAAAGCAUGGGUAGCGAACAGGAUUAGAUACCCUGGUAG